This 513-nucleotide ribosomal RNA is filed under the name uncultured bacterium. Its description in RNAcentral is "bacterial SSU rRNA". It matches the Rfam family "Bacterial small subunit ribosomal RNA", at positions 47 to 518 of the family's 1533-position model. The record is from RNAcentral.
CCUAAGACAUGCAAGUCGAACGAGAUGGCCCAUUGAAGAUUGAGUGCUUGCACGAUUUCGGAUUUGGAUUUCCAUCUAGUGGCGGACGGGUGAGUAACACGUGGGUGACCUACCUAUGAGAUUGGGAUAACUAUUGGAAACGGUAGCUAAUACCGAAUAACAUACAGUUUCGUUUCUGUAUUGAAAGAUGCCUUCAAGCAUUGCUCAUAGAUGGGCCUGCGGCGUAUUAGCUAGUUGGUGGGGCAAUGGCCUACCAAGGCAACGAUGCGUAGCCGGACUGAGAGGUUGAACGGCCACAUUGGGACUGAGACACGGCCCAAACUCCUACGGGAGACAGCAGUUAGGAAUAUUCGUCAAUGGGGGAAACCCUGAACGAGCAAUGCCGCGUGAGUGAUGAAAGGUCCUUUGGAUUGUAAAACUCUGUUGAAUGGGAAGAAUUGCCAAACUAGGAAAUGAGUUUGGAGUGACGGUACCAUGCCAGAAAGCUCCGGCUAACUACGUGCCAGCAGCUGC